AUGGGGAACAAGAUGCCGCAGGUCCUGUCCUACUACCACACAGAGAGGGUGCUGGUGAGGGCGCGGAUGGAGGACGGCGGGUGCCUCGCGGAGUUCGACGACGCGCGGCGGUGGUGCGAGAAGAGGGAGCUGAAGGGCGCCGGCUCCGACAUGCGGAGGUGCAUGGACAGGACGGCGAGGCUGCGCAAGUGCAUGCAGUGCAACGAGGCGCACUUCAGGACCUGCAUUCGCGAUAUGGAGAAGGGGCUCGACCACGACGACAAUGCCCUGGCGAUAGGGUGGUGGUACAUCACACCGCCGCCCAAGGACCAGCGCUGGAAGUGGAGGUGGUGGACCGGCAUGAUUAGGCCAUAG
Molecule: ribosomal RNA, 354 nt
Filed under: Triticum aestivum (bread wheat)
Lineage: Eukaryota; Viridiplantae; Streptophyta; Magnoliopsida; Poales; Poaceae
Description: partial small subunit ribosomal RNA
Source: RNAcentral